GAUGAACGCCGGCGAUGUGCCUAAUACAUGCAAGUCGUACGCACUGGCCCAGCUGAUUGACGGUGCUUGCACCAGAUUGACGCUGGAUACCCAGUGAGUGGCGGACGGGUGAGUAACACGUGGGUAACCUGCCCCGGAGCGGGGGAUAACAUUUGGAAACAGAUGCUAAUACCGCAUAACAACGAAAACCACAUGGUUUUCGUUUGAAAGAUGGCAUAUGCUAUCACUCUGGGAUGGACCCGCGGUGCAUUAGCUAGUUGGUAAGGUAACGGCUUACCAAGGCGAUGAUGCAUAGCCGAGUUGAGAGACUGAUCGGCCACAAUGGAACUGAGACACGGUCCAUACUCCUACGGGAGGCAGCAGUAGGGAAUCUUCCACAAUGGGCGCAAGCCUGAUGGAGCAACACCGCGUGAGUGAAGAAGGGUUUCGGCUCGUAAAGCUCUGUUGUUGGAGAAGAACGUACCUGAGAGUAACUGUUCAGGUAGUGACGGUAUCCAACCAGAAAGUCACGGCUAACUACGUGCCAGCAGCCGCGGUAAUACGUAGGUGGCAAGCGUUAUCCGGAUUUAUUGGGCGUAAAGCGAGCGCAGGCGGUUGCUUAGGUCUGAUGUGAAAGCCUUCGGCUUAACCGAAGAAGUGCAUCGGAAACCGGGCGACUUGAGUGCAGAAGAGGACAGUGGAACUC
RNAcentral lists this ribosomal RNA (685 nucleotides) under uncultured Lactobacillus sp. RNAcentral's name for it is "bacterial SSU rRNA". It matches the Rfam family "Bacterial small subunit ribosomal RNA", at positions 28 to 669 of the family's 1533-position model. The record is from RNAcentral. Lineage: Bacteria; Bacillati; Bacillota; Bacilli; Lactobacillales; Lactobacillaceae.